CGGGAAAGCAGGUGCUAGCGCAUUCGCGCUUAGUGCACGCUGCUUCAAGGGGGAAUCGUGACAGCUGAGGAUAGACUGAUGUAACCAGUGCACCAAAGUAACAGUGUUGGAAAGAUGCCACUCAGAAACAUGGCAGAGCCAAGGUCAGAUCACAUGUUAGCUUCAUUUUGUUGUUGUUGUUGCUUAUGCUCAGUGGCACAGUACACAGACAGUAAAGUGAAAGGAAAGCAAAUAAAACCUGCCACUUCUUUUGCCCAGCUCUCGGCCACAUCCACACAAAAAGAUCACUGCUUAGAGAGAGAAACAGAGAAAGAAAAUGAGAGCUCACAUGAAUAUUUGUGGGAAGAUAGGGCUCAUUUUUACCAUGUUAGUAAUUCCCAUCUAGCUUGUGCCCCAAACUCCAUCCUUCCACUGCAGACUCCCACUACUAACUACACCCCUACCUGCUACAAAGAAAUGUAUAGAAAUUUAAGCAGCUUUCCAAAAAAUAUUUUCAAGCCAGCAUGAACUUUUUUUUUUUUUUUUUUUUAGCUUUUUGCUCAAAAA
Ictalurus punctatus (channel catfish) is the source of this 546-nucleotide long non-coding RNA. The record is from Ensembl. Lineage: Eukaryota; Metazoa; Chordata; Actinopteri; Siluriformes; Ictaluridae.